This 497-nucleotide ribosomal RNA is filed under the name uncultured bacterium. Its description in RNAcentral is "partial 16S ribosomal RNA". It matches the Rfam family "Bacterial small subunit ribosomal RNA", at positions 28 to 507 of the family's 1533-position model. The record is from RNAcentral.
GACGAACGCUGGCGGCGUGCCUAAUACAUGCAAGUUGAGCGAUGAAGAUUGGUGCUUGCACCAAUUUGAAGAGCAGCGAACGGGUGAGUAACGCGUGGGGAAUCUGCCUUUGAGCGGGGGACAACAUUUGGAAACGAAUGCUAAUACCGCAUAACAACUUUAAACAUAAGUUUUAAGUUUGAAAGAUGCAAUUGCAUCACUCAAAGAUGAUCCCGCGUUGUAUUAGCUAGUUGGUGAGGUAAAGGCUCACCAAGGCGAUGAUACAUAGCCGACCUGAGAGGGGGAUCGGCCACAUUGGGACUGGGACACGGCCCAAACUCCUACGGGAGGCAGCAGUAGGGAAUCUUCGGCAAUGGACGAAAGUCUGACCGAGCAACGCCGCGUGAGUGAAGAAGGUUUUCGGAUCGUAAAACUCUGUUGGUAGAGAAGAACGUUGGUGAGAGUGGAAAGCUCAUCAAGUGACGGUAACUACCCAGAAAGGGACGGCUAACUACGUG